Molecule: ribosomal RNA, 484 nt
Filed under: uncultured bacterium
Lineage: Bacteria
Description: partial 16S ribosomal RNA
Rfam family: Bacterial small subunit ribosomal RNA
Source: RNAcentral
AUUGAACGCUGGCGGCAUGCUUUACACAUGCAAGUCGAACGGCAGCGCGGGCUUCGGCCUGGCGGCGAGUGGCGAACGGGUGAGUAAUACAUCGGAACGUGCCCAGUAGUGGGGGAUAGCUCGGCGAAAGCCGGAUUAAUACCGCAUACGACCUGAGGGAGAAAGCGGGGGAUCUUCUGACCUCGCGCUAUUGGAGCGGCCGAUGGCCGAUUAGCUAGUUGGUGGGGUAAAGGCCUACCAAGGCGACGAUCUGUAGCUGGUCUCAGAGGACGACCAGCCACACUGGGACUGAGACACGGCCCAGACUCCUACGGGAGGCAGCAGUGGGGAAUUUUGGACAAUGGGCGAAAGCCUGAUCCAGCAAUGCCGCGUGUGUGAUGAAGGCCUUCGGGUUGUAAAGCACUUUUGGCGGGAACGAAAAGGACUGUGCCAAUACCACGGUUCGAUGACGGUACCCGCAGAAUAAGCACCGGCUAACUACGUG